This 305-nucleotide ribosomal RNA is filed under the name uncultured bacterium. Its description in RNAcentral is "bacterial SSU rRNA". It matches the Rfam family "Bacterial small subunit ribosomal RNA", at positions 338 to 640 of the family's 1533-position model. The record is from RNAcentral.
CCUACGGGGGGCAGCAGUGAGGAAUAUUGGUCAAUGGCCGGAAGGCUGAACCAGCCAUGCCGCGUGAAGGUCAGUGCCCUAUGGGCGUUAAACUUCUUUUGUGCGGGAGCAAUAAUGGUCACGUGUGGCCAGACGAGAGUACCGUACGAAUAAGCAUCGGCUAACUCCGUGCCAGCAGCCGCGGUAAUACGGGGGAUGCAAGCGUUAUCCGGAUUUAUUGGGUUUAAAGGGUGCGUAGGCUGUGAGGUAAGUCAGCGGUGAAAUGCCCCCGCUCAACGGGGUGAAGUGCCAUUGAUACUGCCUUG